AAAGAUUCCGGUUGAUCCUGCCGGACCCCACUGCUAUCGGGAUGGGACUAAGACAUGCUAGUCGUGCGCCUUCCAGCCAUGUGGGAGGCGCGGCGCACAGCUCAGUAACACGUGGCUAACCUGCCCUUGGGACGGGAAUACCCCCGGGAAACUGGGGCUAAUCCCCGAUAGGUGAAGAACUCUGGAAUGAGUCUUCGCCCAAAAGGCGUCGGAUCAUGCUUUUGGCGUCGCCCAAGGAUGGGGCCGCGACCGAUCAGGUUGUUGGUGAGGUAAUGGCUCACCAAACCUAUAACCGGUACGGGCCGUGGGAGCGGGAGCCCGGAGAUGGGAACUGAGACAAGGUCCCAGGCCCUACGGGGCGCAGCAGUUACGAAAACUUGUCAAUGCACGAAAGUGUGAACGGGCUACCCCGAGUGCCGUCCGCUGAGGAUGGCUUUUCUCUGCUUUAAGAAGGCAGAGGAAUAAGGCGAGGGCAAGUCUGGUGUCAGCCGCCGCGGUAAUACCAGCUCGCCGAGUGGUAGGGAUGAUUAUUGGGCCUGAAGCGUCCGUAGCUGGCCUUUCAAGUCUCUUGUUAAAUCCAGCGAUUCAAUCGUUGGACUGCAGGAGAUACUGCAAGGCUAGGAGGCGAGAGAAGCCGACGGUAUUUUCGGGGUAGGGGUAAAAUCCUAUAAUCCCGAGAGGACCACCAGUGGCGAAGGCGGUCGGCUAGCGCGCGCUCAACAGUGAGGGACGAAAGCUGGGGGAGCGAACCGGAUUAGAUACCCGGGUAGUCCCAGCUGUAAACGAUGCUGGCUAGGUGUUGAAGCGGCCACGAGCCGCUUCAGUGCCGCAGGGAAGCCAUUAAGCCAGCCGCCUGGGGAGUACGGCCGCAAGGCUGAAACUUAAAGGAAUUGGCGGGGGAGCACCACAAGGGGUGAAGCCUGCGGUUU
Molecule: ribosomal RNA, 929 nt
Filed under: uncultured crenarchaeote
Lineage: Archaea; Thermoproteati; Thermoproteota
Description: bacterial SSU rRNA
Rfam family: Archaeal small subunit ribosomal RNA
Source: RNAcentral